UAAGAGGGGGGUUGGGUCAGAGGCGUCGGGUCGGGGUGAUGGGCACAUUUUACCAAAUCAAAAUCCGAGAGAGAGAGAGAGAGGUUGAGCAAAACGUGUCCCCGAUUUCACAACCACCGCAAAACGCUCUGGUGCUUCUAGCUGGUCCUCUGUUCCUCUGGAAAGCCCACAAACCAGCACAAAUAUAGAGUGGUGCAGUUACUACUUCUAGGGUUUCCCACCGCCGAUCAUUUUCUUCUUCUUCGCCUUCGUCUUGUUGCCGCCGGUGGGGGAGUGAUGGAUAGGUACCAGAGGGUGGAGAAGCCGAGGCCCGAAGAACCCAUAAACGAGAACGAGAUCAGAGUCACGGCGCAAGGUCUCAUUCGCAACUACAUUGGCUAUGCCACCACUCUUCUUCAGGAUAAACAGGCUGGGGAGAUUGUCUUGAAGGCAAUGGGACAGGCAAUCAGUAAGACUGUGACCAUUGCAGAAAUAAUAAAGACGAGAGUCCCUGGGUUGUAUCAAGAAACUUCUAUCAGCUCAACAAGGAUAACUGAUGUAUGGGAACCUAUUGAAGAAGGACUUGAAAUGUUGGAGAUUAAUCGUCAGGUUUCUCUGAUUACAAUUACUUUGUCAACUACUGAACUGGACAAGAAUUCUCCAGGGUUUCAAGCUCCAUUUGAUGUGGAGCAGCCAAAUGCACAGCGGGAGUAUCAACAGCAGCAGCACCCCAUGCAAGCACAACCUCCAAUCAUUAGCGCUGAAAUGGUGAGCACGACCUUCAUCUGGGGAAAGAAUAAGCGGAGGCCCGCGGAGGGUGAGGGUGCCACCGCCCCUAAGGGGAAAGCUGCCUUCGACCCCUCCCUCACCGGGGAGGGGGAGUCUAGCCGUCUUUCUAGGAGGAAGAAGACUUCUCAACCCUUGAGAUAACUAACUCAAGCAUCCAAUUCUCUCCCAUAUUGCCCAGAUCACGUUCCUAAUUGGGGAGUGAAGGAAAGUGAUCUUAGUCGAAACACCCAGGUAGCAAAACAAAUGAUUCACCACUUCGCAACUCCUGCAGACCGUCAAGUACUGGCUAAACAUUCCUCAGAGGUGGUGGAGGCCGCCUUGUGUAAGCAUCUAGCCCAGGUGGUCACGCUUGUCUCGGACUUCUCCGAACGCUUCGCCCAGACUUCUAAGAAGACCCUUGAAUUAGACACCCAAUUGCAUGAGAUGGGCGAGUUAGUAGAGAGUCAAAGGAAGGACCUGGAAGAGUUGACCUCUGAGCGGCAGUCUUUGCGCCAACGCAUUCAGGAGCUCGAGGAGGAGCUAUUUUGGGCGAACUCCCUCAAUCGUAGAUACGAACGCAAGUAUACUGAGCCCACCAAACUUCUUGAGGUGGAGGAGUUCAUCCAGCAGAACCUGCAGGAGGCUUGGAGGAAAGGAUUCCAAGCCCAUGCUAUCGAGGUUUUACGACCUCAUCCGGAGUUGGACAUGUCCACUGUUUGAUCUGUUGAAGAAAUUGUGGCCGAGCUGGAGGAGGACUCGGAGAUGGCGGACGGCGAAGACGUUUCUCCUAGCGCUUGAGUUUUCUUCCUUAUUUUCUAGCUAGAACUUUUUGUGCUUCUUCCGACGUCAUGUAUUAGACUAUUCGCUUUUAUAUAAAUGCUAUUCUACUUUUACUCUUCAAUUCUUGAUUGAAAAUAUAUGAGCUAAGACUAAUUGAACCCUGAACCUUUGCACCAUAGAAGGGGAUUAAUUUAGCCCUUAGUCCUCCUUUAGUUGCUAGACUGAAGGGGAUGACCUAGGGCUCUCGACCCUUAGAUUUUAGCCAUUCCCUCGCGGAGGAGGGUGUUGGUCUCUGAGUUUUUUUCGGUCGUUAGUCUACCUUCGACUUGGAGACGGCUUAGGCUUCCUGACCCUUGGAUUUUAGCCACUCUCUCGCGGAGGAGGGUGUUGGGCUCUGAUUUUUUUUUCCUGGCCAUUAGUCCCCCUUCGACUUGGGGACGAUCUUGGGCUCAUGACCCUCGGAUUUUAGCUAUUCCCUCACAGAGGAGGUUGUUAGGCUUUGAUUUUUUUUUUUUUUUUCUGGCCAUUAGUCGUAAAAAAGAGUACAAAAAGGUUCGAGGCAUUUCCCUUCUUAUUGAUAAAAUUUCCUCAAGUUUCGCACAUUCUAGGUAUGCUUUAAGGGCUUGUCUUCCAUAUCUUCUAAUCGAUAUGCCCUUGGACUUAGGGAUUCCAACACUCGGUAUGGUCUUUCCCAAUUCGGGAUUAACUUAUUCGCGUCUCAAGGAUGACUCACGUCAAACCGUCGUAGCACAAGAUCUCCUAGCAUGAAACUUCUGAUGUGCACUCGUCGAUUGUAGUACCUAGCAAUACGCUAGUUAUACGCAGCUUGAUGAAUCCGUGCCAAAUCUCGGAGCUCAUCCAUCAGGUUCAAGUUGCACCUUAACCCUUGCUCGUUCACCUCAGGAUUGAAAUGCUCUACUCGAUAGCUAGUCACCCCUAUCUUAAUAGGAAUAAGAGCUUCUGAGCUAUAACACAGUGUAAAAGGGGAUUCUCUUGUAGUUGUUUAUGGUGUUGUUUGAUAGGACCAUAGUAUGUUGGGGAGCUCAUCUACCCAUUGGCCAUCCACUUUCUCAACCUGAGCUCGGAGUCCCUGAAGAAUGGUCAUGUUUGUCAGCUCUACGUGCCCAUUAGCUUGAGGAUGGGCAAUCAAGGUAAAAUGUUGCCUAAUCCCCAACUUGUGGCACUAUUCCUGCAUUGACUGGUCCUUGAAUUGGGUGCCAUUAUUUGUUAUUAACACCCUGGGAAUACCAAACCGACAGACGAUGGAUUUCCAGAGGAAUUGCUUUACCUUUCAGCUAGUGAUACUUGCCACAGGCUCGGCCUCCACCCAUUUAGUAAAGUAAUCAAUAGGGGUGUGCAAAAAAUCGGGUAAACCGAUUUAACCGAAUCGAACCGACCAAUUCGGUCGGUUUAGUUCGGUUGAUCAUAAUGAUCGGUUUGGUUUCGAUUAUUAUUUAGCAAAAAAUUGGUUAUUCGGUUCGGUUUGGUUAUUUUGGUAAAAAUAAUUGAAAACCGAACCGAACCAUGGUGGAAUAAACCCCCUCGAACCGAACCGUGACCCUCCUUCACGUGGGCGCGGCACCCCAAAUCGCCCUUUACCAUCCCUUUGUCCUUCUCUCCUUCCCUCUUCGUCCUUCUCUCUCUCUCGCCAUUUCAUUUUCAUCCCAGAUCUCCCUCCAUCCCUUGCCGUUGCUGAUGGCGAAGAUGAAGACAAAGGCUCUUCGACUUCGAGGCUUCAUAGAUCAGAGAGAAGACUGAGAAAAUCCAGAAGGUGGAAGGACCGAAUCAAUCCUUGGUCCUUUCGUUUGCUCGACCCCCAUUGUCUCCGACUCUUCGGCGACACCAUCGCCCUCUUUGAUGUCGUCAUCAAUGUCGAUGCGAUGUUUCCUCUCUACCUUCGACGUCGACUGUUGUUUUUGUCGAAGCAACCACCUUCGACGCUUUCACUCUAACGUCGACGCCGACUUGGACCUCCGACACAUCAACGUCGACUUCAACGCCUAUGACAAGUGCAUCUCUCUCUCCUUCGAUUUGGACCACCGUGCUCGCCCUUCGGUAAGUUUCCAAAAACGUGUUAAGAGUUUUUUAACUAUAGAAUUAAUUUUUGGAUAUAUGAAUCACCGUGAUUGGGGGAAUCCAAUGAUCGAUUCUGAUCAUUGGAAUCACCGGCCUGCCAGGUGGCCGACAACAAUAGAUGUUCAGUCUCUUUGGUAUUCUAGGUUAGUUUGAUUUUUGGUUCAGUUCGGUUACCAUGAUUUAGUUUUCGGUUAGUUCGGUUUCGGUUAGUUUGGUUAGUGGGGUUGGUCGGUUCGGUUCGGUUUGGUUAUUAUAUGCUGGUCGGUUUGGUUUGAUUAAUAAUUUUUAGACGGUUCAGUUCAGUUCAGUUAUAACCGAUUGCACGUCCCUAGUAGUCAAUAGCUACUAUCAAGUAUCUGUUCUGUCCGGCUGUUAGCAGGAAGGGUUCGAGGAUAUCGACUCUCCACCAGGCGAAUGGAUAAGGCGACGCUAGGUGGGUAAGUUCAACCACCGGGGUGUGAACCAAGUUUGAAGUCCUUUGGCAUCUUUCACAAGUUCGAACUAGCUGCACAGCAUCGCUCAUCAUCGUCGGCCAGUAGUACCCUUGCCGAAGUGCUUUUUGAGAAAGAGACUGGGCUCCAAUAUGACUGUCACAAAUCCCCUCGUGGAUCUCCCUCAGGAUGUAGUCGGCCUCAGUGGGUCCAACACACCUCAACAGUGGCUGGGUGAAGGACUUCUUGUAGAGGUCCAGGCUAACGAGUAAGAACUUGGUAGCCUGGCGCUUGAGUUUCUGGCUCUCUUGUUCCUUCUCUGGUAGCUAUCCCUUAAUUAGAUGUGCUAUGAUAGGAUCCAUCCAACUUUCUCCCCUAUCCAAGCAAAGCUGUUCUGCUUCUAUCUCUAUGCUCCUCUAGGGAAGUGACUCCAUGUAGACAGCCCGAGAAUUCCUGGGGAAGGAAGAAGCAACUAUUCUUGAGAGAGCAUCUACCACGACAUUCUGUGCUUGAGGGACAUGGUUGAUUUUCACCACCCAAAAAUGUGCCAUAAGAUCCUUGGCCAUCGCCAAGUACUAGGCCAUAACUUCCUCUCGGGCCUUGAACUCUCCUAUUACCUGUUGUAUAAUCAAAUUAGAGUCAGAAUAUACCUCCAGAUCCUUGACUCCUAUCUGCUCUGCUAGUUUGAGUCUAGCAAUGAGCGCCUCGUACUCAGCCUCAUUAUUAGAGGCAUUGAACUCAAAGUGGAAGGCAUACGGCCAAGCCUGGCCAUCGGGGCCCUAGAGCAGUAAUCCAGCGCUGCUGCCCCCGAUGCUUGAACUUCCAUCCAUAGAGAGAGUCCAGGUCUGGGAAACCCCAUUGACUUCUUCCUCUGGUAGAGUGCCUUCAACUAUAAAGUCCUCCAUAAGCUGUGCCUUGAUGGCUGGUCGAGGGCGAUAGUUGAUGUUGAAAGCGCUUAGCUCUACCGCCCAUUUGAGUAUCCUCCCAGGCAAGUCUGGCUUUCCCAACACAUGCCGUAAAGGAUGACUAGACAAGACGAUAAUGUGAUGUGCCUCGAAGUAGGGUCUUAGCUUUCGAGUAGAGAUAAUUAGGGCAUAAGCCAACUUCUCUGUCGGAGUGUAGCGAGUCUCGGCCUUGGCCAACCUUUUGCUCACAUAAUAAACUGGUUUCUGAACUUUGUCCUCCUCUCACACCAGAACCGAACUGACAGCUUCGUUUGAAGCAGCCAGAUAGAUAUAUAGUGACUCCCCUGGCUGUGGCUUAGCUAGGACCGAGGAGGGGGGGGGGGGGAGAGAUUAGAUACCGUUUUAGCUGCUCAAACACCUCCUGGCAUUCUUCUGUCCAUGCGAAAUUCUAGACUUGAGUCAAUGCCUUAAAGAAUGGCCAUCCCUUCUCUGCAGACCUUUAGAAGAAUCUCCCCAAUGCCCCAUCCUUCUAGUUAAUCUUUGCACCUCCUUAAUACUCUGAGGAGGAAGCUGUCAUGAACCUAGGGUUCAUAACAAGGUUGGAAUUGGCGUUCGGAAGGAUCUGAGAGGCUUAGGAUUAAGAACAGAAUAUUUAGAGGGGAAUUUGGACAGAAAUGGGGGAGAAAGUAGAGAGAAUUGAGGGAGAGCAACAGAGAGAAAUGAGAGGGAGAUUUGAGAGAAUUCUUAGAGAGAGAAUGAGAGUUUCAUUAAUCAAUUCAAGCAUGAUGAUCUCCUCUUACAAUGGGCAUUUUUAUAGGCAUAGCUAGUUCCUUAACUAAUUUCUAACAACACUCAUGUGCUCCUAACAAAUAAUCAAAUAUAUCUUAACAAACUAAUAUAAGUCUAUUACAAUAUUACCCCUUUAUUAUAUCCCCAUUGUAAUAUUACCCUUCUAAUCCUCCUAGGGACAUGACAGAAGCAUCUCUAGGAUGGCUUUUAUCUUCGAGGGGUUGGCCUCAAUUCUCUAGUAGUGCACCAUGAACCCUAAGAACUUACUAGCCGUAACCCCAAAAGCAUGCUUGGUUGGGUUGAGCUUCAUCUGAUACUAGCGCGAGGUCCGAAAGCACUCCUCCAAGUCGUCUGGAUGUUGCUCAACCAAGAGACUCUUGACCAACAUAUCAUCCACAUAAGCCUCCAUAUUCCGAUCGAGCUGAGUUUUGAACAAUUUGUUGACUAACCUCUGAUACGUAGCUCCGGCAUUCUUAAGCCCGAAAGGCAUAACCCGGUAACAAAAUGUGACCUUGUCUGUGAUGAAGGCAGUCUUGUUAUACCUAGGGACACUGGCAGUCACUAGAUCCCACAAGAAAACCAAUCAAGACACUUAGAUGAGAAUGUUUAGGCAAGAACAAUCCUCUCACACUCUCACAAACCCUCUCGGAUUUAUUUGCCAAUCACACAACAGAAAUUUAUAUGAAACAGAAACAAUAAAAACGGAAUUGAAAAACAUAACAGAAAUGCAAACCAAUAAGAAGAACAAACAGAUUAUCCCGGUUCAGAUUGUAGUGAUUGCAACCCUACAUCCAGCUUUCAAACACCCACCAAGAGCAACCUUCUUUACCAAGAAUGAUCAGUACAACAGGUUGAGUAAUUUCUUCUAUUCCCGAGUACAUCCAACACUCAUUCUCUUAGAUUACAAAAGCUGUCUUGCUCACCAGCCUCUCUCUAAAUGAAUGUCCGCUCGGUACAAUAGAAUGAGAAAUCUACCUCUCUUGCUACCCCUUGCCCUUUAUUUAUAAUAGUGGGCAGAUAUCCCAAUGAAGAUUAUUAGAUAUUUAUAGUUUUAACCCCUCAACUAUCACCAAUUACAUAUUGGAAAAUAAACUUCUAUUUAAUACUUCAUUGGCCCUCAAAAUACACUGCUUUCACUGAUCUUCUUAUCCUAUAUUCUAGACAACUUUUAACAAUUCUCCACCAUUGUCUUGAGUAUACUUCAACCUUCAUCCAUCAAAGCCUUGGCCUUCCAAUAGAUGAACUUGACCUGCUCUCAUAGGUUCUUCCUGUUGCACCUGAUCACUCAAACACAAAACAAACAUUAAGAAUACCAAAUCAAUCCUGUAAAUUUCAACAAUGGACACCUUGGAUCAUACUUCCAGCUGUAUAACCUAUACAUGCAACUUUAAUUAGGAUUGAUUCCUCCUUCUCAAGGAUUUCCCUAAUGAAUAUCUUUCCUAACAUUAAUAUGAUUGGUCUCUCUAUGGUGGGACUGAAUCUAAGCCAAGUGGACUGCCCAUUGGCUGUUUCAACGCCUCUUACCUAGACUUUUCUUUAGGGUUCCUGCUGCAUACAAAAUGCAAUAUAUAUACCCUAAAUUCAUAACUAUUCAUGUAGGCACACUCCACCAUAAACCAAAUCCAUACUCAAUGUUAUUCUUUAAUCUCAAAGGUUCCAUCUUUUUACACAGCAUCACAACACAAUGAACCUCACCCGGAUUGGCCUUUCCACUGCUAGACUUUAUUCCUAGCUCCCCAAAACCGACUUUUUAGGCUUUACCACUGUUCUUCCCUUCUUAUGUUUGCUUCAAACUCAAAGGGCUGCUCAUUUCUCUUGUGCCUCUUCUAUCUUCCAGCCUGUUAAGAUAUGCUUGAGUUUGGGUAAUCCUAGGUUUUCAUAAGCUGUCCAAUUCCUAUUUCAACCUCUAUGCCUUAGAAUUUCCAACUUCUCCUUUAUCCUACACUCUCAAACACUGACCUAAGUUCUCAGCUACACCUUGAGAGUCCUCAUGGACAAAUUUCCAGAGAAGUUUCCUUACAUUUCACUAGGCAUACCAUUGGAAUACUCACAGCUUCCUCAUGCACUCAAUUUUAACCCUUGGACUUAUUCUAAAGGGAUCUGAUUCCUUAUACCUUCACCUUGGGAAUUACUAUCAUUCCUAGAGAGACCUUCUAAGCAAUCAACCUUGCUUACCUUUCCCUCUAGCCUCUAUUCCCUUGGGCUACUCUAUAAGAUCAAUUUUCCCUUAAUUUUCACAUGGAUAAUGGCUGUUAGAGAUACCUAUUCGACCCAAAUUAAGCCUUCAUGUGAUGCUUUAACCAAUGG
RNA transcript from Diospyros lotus (date-plum), 8035 nucleotides. RefSeq lists it as uncharacterized. Lineage: Eukaryota; Viridiplantae; Streptophyta; Magnoliopsida; Ericales; Ebenaceae. The record is from RefSeq and is a predicted model, not a curated record. The transcript has 7 exons.